ACCACCUCACCUGGCCUCCUUGAAUCUUAAUUGCUAUCCAAGGUCUCUGAAUGCUCUAAUCUCCCUCCUGGCUGACAGUACGGGCUCCCCAGGUAUUUUCCAAAGUUUUUUCUUUUUAAAUUAUGACAUGUAUAAUUUUUUAAGUCUCAUUAUGGAAAUUUAAAAUGCUUUCCAAAUGAAAAAUAAAAAACCAGUAACAAUUGUAUUAAGGGAGAAAACAUUUUCAAACUACAUCUCAGAUAUUGGGUUGGUGUCUGUGAUUUGUGAAACAUAGUAACAAAAUGAUUGGCAACAAUUUCAACAGAUAAUUCAAAUAAGUAUAUAUGUGAACAAUAAAUAUUAGAAAACACAGAAACCACAAGAACUAAUGAGAUGCAAAUAUUUUAAAAUCCUGAGAAUUUAUAAUAAUU
Molecule: long non-coding RNA, 410 nt
Filed under: Homo sapiens (human)
Lineage: Eukaryota; Metazoa; Chordata; Mammalia; Primates; Hominidae
Description: HSALNT0408342
Source: RNAcentral